AGAGUUUGAUCAUGGCUCAGGAUGAACGCUAGCGGCAGGCUUAAUACAUGCAAGUCGAGGGGCAGCAUAGGUAGCAAUACUUGAUGGCGACCGGCAAACGGGUGCGGAACACGUACAGAACCUUCCUUCGAGCGGGGAAUAGCCCGGAGAAAUCCGGAUUAAUACCCCAUAGUAAAUUGAAAAGGCAUCUUUUUAAUUUUAAAGAUUUAUCACUUGAAGAUGGCUGUGCGCCUGAUUAGGUAGUUGGCGGGGUAACGGCCCACCAAGCCUUCGAUCAGUAACUGGUGUGAGAGCACGACCAGUCACACGGGCACUGAGACACGGGCCCGACUCCUACGGGAGGCAGCAGUAAGGAAUAUUGGUCAAUGGACGCAAGUCUGAACCAGCCAUGCCGCGUGGAGGAUGAAGGUCCUCUGGAUUGUAAACUUCUUUUAUUUGGGAAGAAAUGCAUUUUUUCUAAAGUGCUUGACGGUACCAGAUGAAUAAGCACCGGCUAACUCCGUGCCAGCAGCCGCGGUAAUACGGAGGGUGCAAGCGUUAUCCGGAUUUACUGGGUUUAAAGGGUGCGCAGGCGGAUAUGUAAGUCAGUGGUGAAAUCUUUGGGCUUAACCCGAAAAUUGCCAUUGAUACUAUAUAUCUUGAAUGCUGUGGAGGUAAGCGGAAUAUGUCAUGUAGCGGUGAAAUGCUUAGAUAUGACAUAGAACACCUAUUGCGAAGGCAGCUUACUACGCAGAGAUUGACGCUCAUGCACGAAAGCGUGGGGAUCAAACAGGAUUAGAUACCCUAGUAGUCC
RNAcentral lists this ribosomal RNA (793 nucleotides) under uncultured bacterium. RNAcentral's name for it is "bacterial SSU rRNA". It matches the Rfam family "Bacterial small subunit ribosomal RNA", at positions 8 to 796 of the family's 1533-position model. The record is from RNAcentral.